GUGGAAUACCAGAGAGUGGUGGGGGGCCAUGGGGGCGAGCAGAACUACGCUGGUGAGGAUCAGAACAGCACCAGGAAACAUGUCCAAAAGUUUGACAGUGUGGUAUCAGCAGACUGUUAUAAGGCCAACUACAACCCCUACCAGCCUGCCAUUCAGCCCAAGAUGUUCACCUCCGAGGUCCCCCACCAGCAGCUUGACGACCACUAUGACCAGCUGCAGAGAGACUUCCUGGACUCGGCACAGAGUACUGCAGACACUCAGCAGCUAGCCCAGCUCCAGAUCCUCAACAAGGCCCAGCUGAGACAGAUCGAAGACCUGGAGCAGAAACUGGAGGAUUCAAGGCGCAAUAUGAGAUACUUGGAGCAUCAGUUUGCC
Long non-coding RNA from Oncorhynchus masou masou (cherry salmon), 375 nucleotides. RefSeq lists it as uncharacterized. The transcript has 3 exons. Lineage: Eukaryota; Metazoa; Chordata; Actinopteri; Salmoniformes; Salmonidae. The record is from RefSeq and is a predicted model, not a curated record.